This 245-nucleotide ribosomal RNA is filed under the name uncultured bacterium. Its description in RNAcentral is "partial 16S ribosomal RNA". It matches the Rfam family "Bacterial small subunit ribosomal RNA", at positions 524 to 765 of the family's 1533-position model. The record is from RNAcentral.
UACGUAGGGGGGCUAGCGUUGUCCGGAAUCAUUGGGCGUAAAGCGCGUGUAGGCGGUCCGGUAAGUCCGCUGUGAAAGUCGGGGGCUCAACCCUCGGAUGCCGGUGGAUACUGUCGGGCUUGAGGUACGGAAGAGGCGAGUGGAAUUCCCCGGUGUAGCGGUGAAAUGCGCAGAUAUCGGGAGGAACACCAAUGGCGAAGGCAGCUCGCUGGGACGGUACUGACGCUGAGACGCGAAAGCGUGGG